This 227-nucleotide ribosomal RNA is filed under the name uncultured bacterium. RNAcentral describes it as "partial 16S ribosomal RNA". It matches the Rfam family "Bacterial small subunit ribosomal RNA", at positions 383 to 607 of the family's 1533-position model. The record is from RNAcentral.
CUGAACCAGCCAAGUAGCGUGCAGGAUGACGGCCCUAUGGGUUGUAAACUGCUUUUGUAUGGGGAUAAAGUCAAUCACGUGUGAUUGUUUGCAGGUACCAUACGAAUAAGGACCGGCUAAUUUCGUGCCAGCAGCCGCGGUAAUACGGAAGGUCCGGGCGUUAUCCGGAUUUAUUGGGUUUAAAGGGAGCGUAGGCCGGAGAUUAAGUCAGUUGUGAAAGUUUGCGG